RNAcentral lists this ribosomal RNA (494 nucleotides) under uncultured bacterium. RNAcentral describes it as "bacterial SSU rRNA". It matches the Rfam family "Bacterial small subunit ribosomal RNA", at positions 8 to 521 of the family's 1533-position model. The record is from RNAcentral.
AGAGUUUGAUCCUGGCUCAGAGUGAACGCUGGCGGCGUGCCUAACACAUGCAAGUCGAACGAUGAUGGAGAGCUUGCUCUCCUGAUUAGUGGCGCACGGGUGAGUAUACCAAAGAUAAUGUACCCCUUAGUUCGGGAUAGCCACUGGAAACGGUGAUUAAUACCGGAUACUCCUUCUCAUUAUAAGAUGAGUCGGGAAAGUUUUUUCGCUAAGGGAUCAGUCUAUGUCCUAUCAGCUAGUUGGUGAGGUAAUGGCUCACCAAGGCUAUGACGGGUAUCUGGUUUGAGAGGAUGAUCAGACACACUGGAACUGAGACACGGUCCAGACUCCUACGGGAGGCAGCAGUGAGGAAUAUUGCACAAUGGAGGAAACUCUGAUGCAGCAACGCCGCGUGGAGGAUGACGCAUUUCGGUGUGUAAACUCCUUUUAAGAGGGAAGAUUAUGACGGUACCUCUUGAAUAAGCACCGGCUAACUCCGUGCCAGCCGCCGCGGU